GGAAAAGCAACAACACAAAUAUUAUGCAAAAGUGUGAAACAUAAUAUAAAUCGCUAGCAGUGUUAGACAAAACACUAUCAUACUCGCCGGAACAAAGAGGGAAACAGGGACAAAGAGGAAAACCGCUCGACUACUCCUUAACCUACAACCCUAAUGCUCGACUUCCACACCUUUUUAUCAAGAACCAUGUCCUCGGAAAUCUGGAGCCGCGCCACGUCCUGUCUAAUCACCUCGCCCCAAUACUUCUUAGGCCGCCCUCUACCUCUUCUCGUACCUGCCAAAGUCAACCACUCACACCUCAUUUGUCCCGCAUAAAGUAAUAAAAUAAGUUAUUCAAGUUUUCUGUACGCUCUUGUAUUUUGAUGUUUGCUUAAACAUCAAAAUAUUUUGUAAAACAGAUUUAGUUUGUCAGAGACUAAUCUUUGGGGCCGAAGAGAGUAGUUUGUAGUUCUACCAUUUUUGUGUUGUUGUCUCCUUUGUUGAUAAUCUGGAGAGUUCCACUAUUUAUCAUUUUGUUUCGUUUUUUUCCAUGUUAAUCAAGGCCUUGUCAUAUCUCUCCGUUAAACACUUUUAUUAAUCAAGCAAUUUUAAUUCGGACCGUCGUAAUGACAUUUUGCCAUUAAAACUGCUUCACCAACACUAAAUGGACAAAGUGCACCAAUAGUCACUUUUAAACACUCACGGAAUUUAUAUCCGGUUCUGGAAGGACUGCCUUCAUUGUAUUAUUUAAAAUAUAUUUACAAUUUACAAUAUAUUUAAAGAUUAGCCGAUUCAUCAAAACUUUAUGAUUAAGUAUCAUGAAUUUUGUUGCUACCCAUUUGGAAUUCAGGACACUUAGUCAUGAAUUCCCGAACUACUAAUUUAAAAUUCAGGACAUAAAGUUUAGGAGAUAAUGUCCUGAAACUUGAACUUUGAGCUUUAAAGUUGAGGACGCCGUGUCCCAAACUUUAUGCGAAUUAGCUAAUCUUUGAAUAUUCUAUAAAUGAUAAAUAUAUUUUAACAACAUGCUUGAAAAUGGCUACCUAGUGUCAUUUCCACACAUUAAAUAGAUCAAUGUAUUUGCCUUCUUCCGAGGUAAUAUCACAUUAUCUUCUAGACGUUAGUAAUUAAUACCAUCAUAUCUUCUUUUAGAUAACGUGUUAGCACUUCUUACAUUCCUGAUUUUUCUCCCAAUCCACCUUCUUUCACAUAACUAUUUGACCUCCUCCAGUCUUCUUCUAGUAACCUUAUUUUCUUUAACAUUUUCCAACCUCCUCGGGUCAUUGGAUUGGUGAUAUUGAAAAAAAUAAUUUUUAACAUAAAAUUUCGUAUAAAAUAACUUUAUAUUUAAUCAAAGAGAGAGUCAUAAAUAAUUAUUGCUUAACUUAUAUUGUGUUUGGCUGGUCGUGUAAGAAAAAAUUAAAUAAUUUUAGCAUAAAUAAUAAGUUAAGCUAGAAUAUAUGUAUUAUUUCAUAAUUUUUGUAUAACUAGCAUGUGAUCAGCGGCGGAGCCGUUCGCCAAAAAAUUAUACUAUAUAGCUAGGUAAAUUUUUAUAUAUAUAUAUAUAUAUAUUAUUGACUUUUCUUGGCUUUUUUGUAAGUUUAUGUCUUUAUAUUUUGAAACUCCUUAAGAAAAAUUCCGAUGCGGUCACUGCAUGAGAUCAACCCCUUAAUUUCUUCCCUUCUAUUCCUAUCUAGAAGCCGUUCCAUCUAAGUUACAUCAACAAGGAAAAAAUAAAAUAAACAUAAAAAUAAAAAUAACAAUAAGAAAAAUGAAAGGACAUCACUUUUUUGAUUGUAUAUAUAUAUAUUCCUAUAAAUCUUCACUUAUUCACAACAUAGUAGAGUAUAUUUUUUACAUCAUAUUGUACCAAAAUAAAAUCUUUUACGUCGUAUUUCACUUAGAAGCUUCUUGAUUAUGGAAAACAAAGCUGAAAAACGAAGAGUAGAAGAAGAAGAUUUAGAAAAUUUAGAUACAAUUUCUUUAUCUGACCUACAAAUGAAAGAUGGAAACGAGAGCCCAAAAAAUUCCUCUUCGCCACAAGAUUUUUUUGAAUUUUUCACUGAAUCUGAUUCUGAAAAUUAUACAUUUUCAGAUAUAAUUUUUUGCGGAAAAAAGAUUAGCCAUGAAAAUGAUGACAAAAGGCAAUUAGAAGAGCAAUUGGAUGAGACUUAUUUGUCUCCAUUAUUUCGUUCCAAUUCAUUUCAUCGGCCGGUUAUGACGCCGAUGAAUCAGAAACGGGCCGAGUCGGCCCGUUUUUACAAUUCACAAAAUGUGCAGAAGGUGAAUAUUACUGCACUAACCUCCAUGUCAGCGAAAUCUCGGAGAAGAAUGUUCAUGUUCGGGCCUGUGAAGUUCAAGCCCGAAAUGGAGCUAAGUGAAAUCAAGCAAAGACAGGGCCGCCGUUGUGUUCUGCCGCCGGUGAUUAUGGCAGGUGACGGCGGAGAGACGGCGGCGUUGGUGAAGAGCAGUCAGAAGAAGAAUAAGAGUGGGUCCACCGAUGAAAAAAUCAAGGGGUUGAGGAGUAGGCCCCACUUGGCUAACGUGUUGGCCAAGUCAUUGAGUUGUUUUUCCAUGCGAAAACAUUGCAUGGCGUUGCCUGAUCAUUUAUACAGCAACUUUGUACAGAAAAGAAAAGGGACUUUAUAAGGUUCAAAUUUAUAAUAUUAUCUUUUUGGUUAAAAUUAACAAAAAAA
RNAcentral lists this long non-coding RNA (2675 nucleotides) under Nicotiana tabacum (common tobacco). Its description in RNAcentral is "long non-coding RNA (NTAB_LNC016474)". The record is from RNAcentral. Lineage: Eukaryota; Viridiplantae; Streptophyta; Magnoliopsida; Solanales; Solanaceae.